GGGUGAGUAAUGCCUAGGAAUCUGCCUGGUAGUGGGGGAUAACGUUCGGAAACGGACGCUAAUACCGCAUACGUCCUACGGGAGAAAGCAGGGGACCUUCGGGCCUUGCGCUAUCAGAUGAGCCUAGGUCGGAUUAGCUAGUUGGUGGGGUAAUGGCUCACCAAGGCGACGAUCCGUAACUGGUCUGAGAGGAUGAUCAGUCACACUGGAACUGAGACACGGUCCAGACUCCUACGGGAGGCAGCAGUGGGGAAUAUUGGACAAUGGGCGAAAGCCUGAUCCAGCCAUGCCGCGUGUGUGAAGAAGGUCUUCGGAUUGUAAAGCACUUUAAGUUGGGAGGAAGGGCAGUUACCUAAUACGUGAUUGUUUUGACGUUACCGACAGAAUAAGCACCGGCUAACUCUGUGC
RNAcentral lists this ribosomal RNA (408 nucleotides) under Pseudomonas sp. Its description in RNAcentral is "bacterial SSU rRNA". It matches the Rfam family "Bacterial small subunit ribosomal RNA", at positions 104 to 508 of the family's 1533-position model. The record is from RNAcentral. Lineage: Bacteria; Pseudomonadati; Pseudomonadota; Gammaproteobacteria; Pseudomonadales; Pseudomonadaceae.